This is a long non-coding RNA of Amphiprion ocellaris (clown anemonefish), 2295 nucleotides long. RefSeq lists it as uncharacterized. Lineage: Eukaryota; Metazoa; Chordata; Actinopteri; Pomacentridae. The record is from RefSeq and is a predicted model, not a curated record. The transcript has 4 exons.
AGAAAGGUCAGACUUAAGCAUAAAGUGCAGCCAGAAGCUUGCUCAAGCUACUGACAGUUGAGUCUGAGCAGAUUUUCAUAUUGCAAACGUGUUUUCAGACUGACGAGUUGAGAAAGUUAGAAAAAUAACAUGAAACAAAAAGAGAAAAAAUUGCAGUGUAUUUGAUGAAGAUGUGACGGCUGAUUAGCCCUCAAGCCAUACAGCUGUGGGGGAACUAAUGAUUGGUUUGGCCGUUGCAGCAGGGGGUUCAAAUUGAUUGAUGGACGUAGCUCCAGUAUACUCCUGAACACUCCUGGACAGACCAGUCUUCUGUGGCUGCAGGGCAGAGUCUGCUGACGGUGUCUCUGCUUAUCGGCGGCGUCAUGCGCGUGUAGCGUCGGACAGCCGAGUUUUGGACCAGAGGAGGGAAAACAGACACACAAAGACUGGAGUGGAAAAGACAUCAGUGGCGAUCGAGUAACACAUGAGGACAACCAAACAGCAGAGACUCUCACACUAAGCUGAAAUGAAAGAAGUGCACAUAAAUGAGGCAUAGCAGAGACAGCAGAGAGGCCCGGGCCUGUGGUGUUUUUCCAAGCUGCAGAAAUGAAAACAAGAUGAAGAGAGGUGUAACAGUGGGCUGGUGAGGGGAGGGCAGGUGUUCCUGCUCAUGUUGCUGUUAAUUAUUAGCUUCAAGUACAAGUAGAAUCUGAGCAAUCAUCAGACAGAAGUUGCUAAGGCAGCUUAGAAAGAUUGUGGGAGAAAACUGUUGGUGUAUUGCCACUAAAACCAGUAUCUAAUCUGGGAAUAAAGACUGGUUUCUGCUAAUGGUACCUAAGCCACAAACAUUGGCACUGCAAAUCAUUAGGACUGUGCAGCAGACUAAUACAAAAACAAGGCAUUGGUGCAUUCUGGCACUUGUAUUGUGAAUGAUGGCUCACUAGCAGAGCUUACUGGGACUGAUAGACUGAUUUUUAUUUUCGUACCUGGUAUGACAAGUCAAAAUGUCUCCUGUUUUUACAGUUUUUUAGUAACACCAAUCUCCUUUUUGAAGACAUUAUCACCCUUAAGCAGAGAUAUGACACAAGCCAGCAUGCUGUUAAGUACAACUCUGUUCCAAUACUGAAUGAUACUUACUAGUGUUGGUAGAAAUCUUAAUGAGAUAAUGAGUAUUUCCUACUAAACAGAGCGUCAAAAACAUACCCUGCUAUUUUACUCAAAAUUGACGGUGCAAGAAAUGCCCUUGUUUCCCGUCCAGAACAAAACCGAAAAAGAUAAAACUUUGCUAAAGAACAUGAAAAAAAAAUCCGCUGAAUGUUGGUAGCACCUUCCUUGGUCAGAUGACAUUAAGAUAAAUUUGUUUGGCCCAGAUGGUGUCCAGCUUGUUUGGCUUGAACCUGUCCAGAAAUACCAAGUUGAAUGCUUAGUCCUGACAGUGAAGCACUGAGGUGGAGGUGUGAGGUUAACAGGCUGUGUGAGUGCAAAACAUGUUGGGGAGAUGACAUUUAUAGAUGUCACUAUGAAUGUCUGAGGAAAUACCAAACUACUGGUUGACAAUAUCACUCCCAGUCUACAGAAGACUGGCCGAAGAAGAAUAUUCCGGCAUGAUAGGAGUUUCUACAGACGAAAAAAAUAACAAAUAUGACUGGGCCAAGUAUGUCACCUGAGUUGAAUCCACUAGAACACCUUUGGGUUAUAUAAAGAGAAAGGUGAAGCAACAUCUCCAGCAAAGUGCAGCUGAGAAGAAUGUUUUUAAAGAAUGGACUAUUUCUGUUUGAAAAAAUAAAGAUGGACAUUAAAAAAAGCAUGAAUCUCAGUCUUGCAGGAUGUAUAGACCUCUGUUGCAUUAUUUUCCUACUGUGGAACCUGUGAUGUUACAUAUUAGUAAUAUGAUACAUUGCUGUAAGGUGAUACAAUUUUGAAUCAUAUGACAUUUAAGUGAUGUUGCACAGGGGUAUACUCACAAUUUAGCUUCCACACCACAUAAAGCUUGACGACACCGUUAGAUAUAAAGCAGAUUAGCAUACCCAGCUUAAUGAGCUAAACAGCUGACAGGUCCCCUAUGUAAACUACAGCAUAUCCUACCACAGCGGACAUAUGGACACAGUAAAAAAAAAAUAAAAAAACAAAAAGACAGUGAUGGAUUUGUUUCCCAAGCAAGUGCAAUGAGUGUGUGAAAUGCAGGUCAGGUGAGUCAUCUUCUCUUCCCUGACAGUGCUGUCUGUUUUUUCACACUUGAAUGGAAAAAUACUCUUGUGUGUGUGUGUGUGUGUGUGUGUGUGUGUGUGUGUGUGUGUGUGUGUGUGUGUGUGUGUG